Non-coding RNA from Punica granatum (pomegranate), 535 nucleotides. Lineage: Eukaryota; Viridiplantae; Streptophyta; Magnoliopsida; Myrtales; Lythraceae. The record is from RefSeq and is a predicted model, not a curated record.
UUCAGUGCCCUGGUUGUCGAUGAUGGGUCCCAAUUCACAAGAGCCUGCAGAUACCUUUCCAUGGCUUCUAUGGCCUCUGCUCUGCUUUUUCUAGUCUGGGCCUUGGUAGUCUAGUCUGGAGCAUGCUCCGGGGUUAGGCGUGGCUGCCCGCGCUGCAAGAUUGCUGCCACUUCGAUCGUUGAAGCUGAGCUAUAGCAUCUUCAGGAUCGCCUUCACUUAGCAGUUAGCACUGCUGACCCUAGGCAUAACCCUCCUUCAGGUAAAGUUGAGUGCUAAGGUCGGUGAAGACUUCAAUUGAAGCUAUGUUAAAACUACAUAUUGUUUUCCUGAUAUCUCUUGUGAUUGACUGCAGGCUCCUGGGCAGUAGAGUCCCUGAUCUGAGAUCUCCAAGCUUGGCAUAUCUAUCACGAAGCUAAUUUUUGAGUGGACGGUCUCGCUAAGAAGAGCGCCAGUCCAUGGGCAAACCUAGGCUGAUGUUAUUGUAAUCAUUUUUUAUUUUCUAUUAAUGAAGUGCCUAAUCUCACCCAAGAAAAAA